GUGGCUCUUCUGUUGGUGGAUGAUGAAUAGACGACACAGAUGAUGGAGUUGAUUGGAAUUUGUUGCUCAAGUCUGAGUCCGGAAUGUGCUGUUGAAUUACUACCCUCCCGCUUCAGCUUCAUCAAUUCGUCCCCAACACCUAGCCACCACCGCCGUCGUCAUCAUCAUCAUCAUCUUUUCAGGCGGCCUCCCAUCCACGCUACAACUUACCACUCCUUCCGUAAUCCUCCUCCUACUAGUGCUACCACUUCUUCUACUUGUUAUUCGCCCCGGCGGCGGAGCAGCAGAUCAAAAUUUGCCUGUUGUUCUUCGCUGCCUAGACCACAACCUCCUGCUGCUGCUGCCGCCGCCGCCGCCGCCUCGGAAUUCCAGGGGGACAGCGGCAGUGCUUCUAGUAGUCCCGAUGAUUCCUCCGUUGCUGCUGCGGAGGACGAUUUUAGUCACGUCAUCAAGUUCAACAUGUCCGACUUCAACAUCUCUGACCGCGUCAGCGUUGGCCUUACCAGCCGGGUACCCACUCCCCUACCCCGGUCCUCCUCCACUCCUCUUUUCUCUCAAUUACCUAAUAUUUUCCCUUCAUACAUUCAGGCGGACGAGGUUAUCUUCGAAGCUACCGUCAAGGAUGUUAAUAAGUAAGUUGAUUUUCAGCUACCACCCGCCACCUUGUAAAGCAAUAAAUUGAGGAGGUUUCCAUUUUUAUUUGUUUGUAUUAUUUUCUUUUGGACUUGUUGUUUUAGGUUUUAAUAUACAUUUUGUACAUUUGCAGUCCAUUAUAUAACACCAAAGUUGUGCUUCGGAGGCUCACAAGUGCUCAGGCUAAGCGCAGAGGACGGAGAGCCAUAGAGGUUGCUUGAUUCUUGAAAACCGCUCCAAUUUCAUUUUACGCUUUGUUAGGCGCUAGUCUUUAAUUUUUCUGCAAUCUGAUUUUAGGUGUUGAGGAGAUUGGCUCGUCGUAGAUUAAUGUACCAUUCUUACUCGAUGCAAGUUUAUGGAUAUGUCUCUUCAUCUUCCACUGGUGACACUGGCGCAUUUACGCUAGUCCAUGGGGUAGGUUGCUUUUUGUUGAGCAAUUGUGUUUUUAUAAACCUGCACUGCUGUGGAACUAAGAAUGCUGCAAUCAAGUUAUUUAGUGUUCUCAGUUUAACCCCCCUUUGGAUUGAAAAUUUGUGGAGCUCAUUCAAAAUAUGAAGUAAGUUGUUAUACAAUGAGUAUGUUUUUCUGCUAACGAUUGUAUCUCCCAUGUCCUUCUAAAGGAGACCAGAUGCAGUUUUAAUGUGCAGACUGAAUGCUGUCAUGCUCUUAAUGACAUGAUCUUUUAGAUGCUUUUGACUCAACUGUAAGCCUCUGUGUCUGACUUUGUAACAAUAUUCACUCUUGGUCUUUUCCUUUUUCAGUAUCAUGGCAGUUUUUCUUUGAGACAUUGGCUCCAACAAUCUGACUGGUUUCCCACUUUGGAAGCUACUCUUGCUCUAGAUGAGGAUUCUGCAAGAAAAGUGGGUGACGAUACUAUUGGUGGGCCUGCCGUUUCUCGACAAUUGCGACUUAUUCGGGUUUUGAUGAGGGAUCUUUUGAUUGGGGUGCGUUAUUUGUGCAAUUUUUGUAUUAUCCACAAUCACAGUUCAGUUUGUGUUGCUUACUCCAUUUCUAUGUUAAUAAGUGCUUUUAUUGCAUUCCCACCUCAGGUCAAUUACUUGCACAGCCAUGGACUUGCCCAUACAGAGUUGAGACUGGAAAAUUUGCAUAUUAGCCCUGUGGAUAAACAUAUCAAAGUGAGAUUAUGCUCUUUUCCUCGUUAUACUGGUAAAGAAGCUAAGAGCUUUAGUACUGUAUUUCGACUUUUACUGACGUUUAUGAGAUUUUAGUUAGCAUGUCUGUGCACUUGCACCUCUUCGGACAAGGACUUUGGCAAGAUAAUUAUUUAGUAUUGCUGAACUCUGGACUGAAAAUGUGAAAACAUCCAGUUCUCUUCUAAGCUUAUGUAGACUACUUGGUUCGCUGUAACCACGUAAACAUUCGUGUCUUAUAUAUGUGCAUAUACAUAAUUGUGCAUUCCUCGAAAGAAUACCCUUAGAUAUGGACAUACAUAUCUAUAUUGAAAGCCACCACAAAAGCCACCACGGUUGUCAUGUUCUUAAAAAUCACCCAAUUCACAAAGCAUGUUUUCAAGCAUUUUCUUCUAUAUCUUAGUAACCUCCUGAAAUUAUAUAUAGCCCAAUUUUAUUUUUCUUAGGUGGGGAUACUGGGAAAUGCUGCUGAUCUUUAUGAGAGCUGUUCGGAGACAUUAAAUAGCAAAAUCGAUCGGCGAGAGAUGAUGAUUGCAUUUGACAUGAGGUAAAACAGCUCUGAUGCCUUUUGUCAUUUUUUGUCAGCACAAGCAUUUUCAUGGAUUUGCUUUUAAUUUAUCGGGAUUUUUUAGGUGUGUCGGGUACAUUAUGGCUAAAAUGGUGCUGACGGAACUCAUGGAUUCAUCGGUAUUUAUGAAGUUUAAAGCAUUCCUCACCAAGGUACGAAAGGCUUUCAUGGUAAAAACUCUUUAGACAAUGAAUUUCUUUUUUUUUACUUUCAUUCUUAGUGAUAAAUUCCCAUUCCAUGUAGGGAAAUGAUUCCUCCUGCUUGCGUGAGUUCCUAUUGCCUACUAUCUAUAGGAAUUCCUCAUCUGGAAAUACUGGAAUCCAAGUUAGUUCAAUCCCUUCUCCAAAGUCGCUGCACUUCUGCUCUUUUGCACCCUGAGAACAACGUGCUAAAAUAUCUUUCUUGCAGAUACUUGAUAGAAAUUGGGGUGCAGGUUGGAACUUACUAUCACUUCUCCUAGCAACCAAACCUUCACAGAGAAUAAGGUAGGCUAGCUUAUAGAAUCUCCAACGUUUUCAUAUUGAUGUUAGUUGUGAGGGAAGAAGCUGUAAAAAUAAUUAUUGGGAUCUUAUAGCUCGCAUCUUGCUUUGCCACGGGGACAUCAAAUGCUUUUCUCAUCCAGCUUUACCGCUGCUGUGAUCUCUGUGGAGGACAGAUAUAUAUAGGAUAUCAUGGAAUAGAAUUGAUUUUCGAAGUAGGAUACAAGACUAUGACCAGCAGCAUUUCAUAUUUUCUGCUAUACUUAUUUUGUCAGUAGUUUGAAUGGGGAUUCAAUACCAUCACUAAUAGCCAUUCCAUUCGCUCUAAUCUAAUUUUUCUAAUUAGUAAAUGAUUAUCAGUAAUCCCCUUGCCUAGGAGUUGAACAUUUUUCAUGCCAUCUCAUGGUACUGUUCAUUAUAUACUGUACAACAGUUGCUUAAAAGCCUUGAGACAUCCUUUCUUAUGUGGACCAAGAUGGAGGAUAGACCCGUCAAUGGACAUUAUCAAAUGGAACCUCGGUUCAACUGCAGUUCGAAUAACAGAGGAGUACAUUUAUAACCAGCAGCAGGUCUGUAAUAUUUGUUCCUCUGUGACUCAUCUUAAUCUGUCUUUGUCAGCUGUAAUCUUAAAGUUUCUUCAUCUCUGAAAACGUGGUUAAUAUAUGUCUUUAUCUUUUAAUCAAAUCAUGAUUAGAUCCUUUUAGAAAUUGUGUAAAUGGAGAAUCUGAGUCUUGAUCUGCAAAUCAUGAUGACUGAUUAUUUUGGAAACCCACUUUAUACCCUUAAAAACACACACCUGGAUCUAUAUAUGUUGCACAAAGAUUUGCUUCAUUGUACUUUCUCAAAUUAUGAUUUGAGUUGCAUUGUUAUUACAUCGGCUCAAGGAAUUGCCACAUAAAACAGUUUCAGAAAUUUCUUACCAGCCAUUUCAGCUUAUUUUUUAUUGCAACGUGAUUGUUGGAAACUGCUAUCAGUAUAGCAGUCAAACCAACCCAAUUGUCACACUUUGUACAUUCUUUUUUUUUUUUUUACACUUUUUACUUUCCUAUAUUUACUGUAACAAAUAAAAGAGUAAAGUAUAUUUGUUUCUUCUAGGGGGAUGGAGCUUUUGUUUUUAAAUUGAGGAAAACAAGAGGUCUUCUUUGACUUUUGAAUAGAAAUACAUUUGUUUGAAUAUCAAAUUAUUUUAAAUAAUACUUUGCUUGCAUUAUAAUCACAUUUCCCAAUUCAUCUUUUUAUUUUACAUGCAUCACAUCAUAAAAAGUAUUACAAUAAUUAUUUCAAAUAAUACUUUAUCCAAACAGUUUUCUGCGAAGGACAUUCACCUGCCGGGAGUAAAAUAUUGUCAGCAGACAAGUGCUCUCCAAUAUUGUUGAUAGUCUUACCUUGUGCAUGUUGGGCAGGUACGACUUUAAAUUUGAAUUUUACUGAGAAGUUGCGUCUUUUUUGUGUU
RNAcentral lists this long non-coding RNA (4284 nucleotides) under Coffea arabica (coffee). Its description in RNAcentral is "long non-coding RNA (CARA_LNC001456)". The record is from RNAcentral. Lineage: Eukaryota; Viridiplantae; Streptophyta; Magnoliopsida; Gentianales; Rubiaceae.